AAUGAACGUUGGCGGCGUGGAUUAGGCAUGCAAGUCGAGCGAGAACCCAGCAAUGGGGGACAGCGGCGAAAGGGACAGUAAUGUGUAGAUUAUCUGCCCUCAGGUCCGGGAUAGCUGCGGGAAACUGCAGGUAAUACCGGAUAACAUCUCCGGAUCAAAGGUGUGAUUCCGCCUGAGGAUGAGUCUACAUCCUAUUAGCUAGUUGGCAGGGUAAUGGCCUACCAAGGCGAUGAUGGGUAGCGGGUGUGAGAGCACGACCCGCGUCAUUGGGACUGAGACACUGCCCAGACACCUACGGGUGGCUGCAGUCGAGAAUCUUCGGCAAUGGGCGCAAGCCUGACCGAGCGACGCCGCGUGCGGGAUGAAGGCCUUCGGGUUGUAAACCGCUGUCAGAGGGGAUGAAAUGCAGGUGGGUUCUCCCAUCUGUUUGACAUAGCCUCAGAGGAAAGACGGGCUAAGUUCGUGCCCAGGCAGCCGCGGUAAGGACGAACCCGUCCAAACGUUAUUCGGAAUUACUGGGCUUAAAGGGUGCGUAGGGCGGCGCGGAAAAGUUGGGUGUGAAAUCCCUCGGCUCAACCGAGGAACUGCGCUCAAUACUACCGUGCUCGAAGGAGAUAGAGGUGAGCGGAACUUAGGGUGGAGCGGUGAAAUGCGUUGAUAUCCUAAGGAACACCGGUGGCGAAAGCGGCUCACUGGAUCUCUUCUGACGCUGAGGCACGAAAGCUAGGGUAGCGAACGGGAUUAGAUACCCCGGUAGUCCUAGCCGUAAACGAUGAGCACUGGAUUGAAGGGUCCUCCAUAGCCUUUCAGUCGCAACGAAAGCGUUAAGUGCUCCGCCUGGGGAGUAUGGUUGCAAGGCUGAAACUCAAAGGAAUUGACGGGGGCUCACACAAGCGGUGGAGGAUGUGGCUUAAUUCGAGGCUACGCGAAGAACCUUAUCCUAGUCUUGACAUGCACGGAUUAACUCCUGGAAACAGGAGCCAGGCCUUCGGGUACAACGUGCACAGGUGCUGCAUGGCUGUCGUCAGCUCGUGUCGUGAGAUGUCGGGUUAAGUCCCUUAACGAGCGAAACCCUUGUCACUAGUUGCCAGCGCGUCAUGGCGGGGACUCUAGUGAGACUGCCGGUGUUAAACCGGAGGAAGGUGGGGAUGACGUCAAGUCCUCAUGGCCUUUAUGACUAGGGCUGCACACGUCCUACAAUGCCACGUACAAAGGGAAGCGAACUCGUGAGAGCAAGCAAAUCUCAAAAAACGUGGCCCAGUUCGGAUUGCAGGCUGCAACUCGCCUGCAUGAAGCCGGAAUCGCUAGUAAUCGCGGGUCAGCAUACCGCGGUGAAUGUGUUCCUGAGCCU
This 1351-nucleotide ribosomal RNA is filed under the name uncultured bacterium. Its description in RNAcentral is "bacterial SSU rRNA". It matches the Rfam family "Bacterial small subunit ribosomal RNA", at positions 28 to 1381 of the family's 1533-position model. The record is from RNAcentral.